Molecule: non-coding RNA, 2151 nt
Organism: Ictidomys tridecemlineatus (thirteen-lined ground squirrel)
Lineage: Eukaryota; Metazoa; Chordata; Mammalia; Rodentia; Sciuridae
Source: RefSeq, a predicted model, not a curated record
UGUUGGUGGAUCUAUUGAAUAACAUUUAUAAAGUCAGUAUUUUUAGUUUUGAUACUGUCUUGAAGCAUCAUAUUUAAAUUUUUUUGUAGCUUAUAUUACAAGUAAAACAGUUUACUUUUAGUUACAAAAGCAGUAAAAUGGUUAUUCCACCUUCAGAUUGAUUGCUUUUGCUUCCACAUAUGAGCUAGAACAUGGGGACCUUGUCUUUCUAUGUCUGACUGGAGGCUGGGAAGAUCUGAGGUGGGAGAGAAUAGAAGGAGGCUGGAUAAAGGGCACUAAAACAUAGCAGAGAGAAGGAACAAGUUCUAGUGUUCUGCAGCACAGUGGGGUGCCUAUUGUCUACAAUGACUAUUAUAUAUUUUAUGAAUAACUAGAAGAAAGGAGAUUAAAACCUCCAAAACUAAUGAUAAGGAUGAAGAAAUGAUAAUUAGCCUGACUUGAUAAGUACACAAAGCAUAUGUGUAUUGAAAUGUCCUAUACCCCAUAAAUACAGGUAUAAUUAUUUCAUGUCAAUGAAAAACUUUAAAAAUUGAAGGAAGUAGAAAUGUCAAUCACUCAUGAUUUUAUCAUUGCAUAUUGUAUACAUGUGUUGAAUUAUCACUCUGUACUCCAUACAUAACAUACAAUUACAAUUAUAAUAAAAUUUCUAAAGGUAUUAAUGAUAAUAAAUGCUUAUGAUAUUAUGGUCCAAUGUGUAUUUCUAAGACUAAAACAAAUUCUUUUUUUUUUAAAGUCUCUUCAUUGUCUUUCUGCUGAGAUUCUGUUACAUGCUUAUCACUUGUCAAGUUUCUAAAGAUUGCCAACUAACAGCUGCAAGCACAGUGGAGUCUAGGUCAGAGCAAACACAGGGGAGCACUCAGACUGGAAUGAAACUUGACAUCUCCCAUCUUCGUGCUUAUUUCUGGGUCUCUAAGGCUGGCUUCCAGCCAGGGCAACUUCUUCAGGUUGCAGAAUAUGAAGGAGCAGGUGGCAGGAGAAACAGUCUGGAAAGCACUAUGCAGAUCCUCUCCCUUUGUUUCCAAUGGAUAGUUUAUCUUAAUUAUAAGAUGUUGAUUCCAUUUUCUAAAAAAAAAAAAAAUGGACUGCAUAUUUUCUGAGGCAGAUUUUUUUUUUAAGUUUCUCCACUGAAACUUUGUCUUUCUCUUUUUUAUGCCUUAGAAAACGCUUUUCCAAAAAUCUCAGAAGGAAAAUAUGUCAUAGGAAGAUUUAAAUAGAUGUGGUAUUUGUCAAGGUUAUAUAUAUGAGGGGAAACAAUGAUUGGUGAGCCUUACAUGGAAAAUGGGAAAAGUGACAAGGAUUUGAAACAGAAAGGCUGGCUAUGUGUGUAUGGAUUAUUCUCUUUGCCUUUUUGAAGAUGUUUGUGUGAGCUCCUAAAUAGGGCCAAUUUAUAAAUUGAUUAAUAUGCUCAGCUUUUUGAAUUUUAAAGAGAUCUUACCCGUGCCCAUUCGUUACUUGUUUUUCCUAAGUUACUUAAUUGAUUAAUAUAUUUAUAGUGGCAUUUAGCUAUGCUCAGAGGGAUCUUGUUCCAAAAAUAAUUCUAAUAUCACUACCUAUUUUCAUCCAUCAUAUUUAUAAAAUAUAACUAUAUAUUUAAACAGUAUUAGAGUGGUUGCUAUCUACUGGAAUGUAGAUAAACAAACUCUACCUAGGAGCUCUUCCAAAUUACACCUGUGAGUCUCCUACAGAGUGCCAUUGAGGAGAGAGGGAAGGUGUACUUCAUAUUUCAUUGUAUAUCCUCCUGUAAUAUUUAGAUUGUUCUAAAGACAUUUAAUGUUUUUAUUUCUAGAAAACAUCUGGAGAAUUAUUUGUGUGUUGUAGGAUUAGGAUCCACUUUAACUUUUGUUCUUUAUAAUUCUCCACAUUAAGAUUUUAGCUAUACAUUUAUUGGGAUGUAUUGGAGUCCAAAUCACCAACAUAAAAAUACAUAGCUGUCAAUUAGUAAAAGUGAAGUCCCAUUUCAAUGUUAUAUUUAUUUCAUGUUAAAAUAUCUGAAAAAAAAUUGGCUAUGGGUAGAAUGGAAUAACCAAAAGUCUUUAUUAACAAUAAGUAUGUAGAAGAAAGAAUCAAUGUAGGUAAGAAGAACAAUAUUCAGACAACGUGCUAAUACUGAUCUCUGUGGCUACAUUUGUCUUCAAUAUCUUAUUUUAAGAA